This 1404-nucleotide long non-coding RNA is filed under the name Homo sapiens (human). RNAcentral's name for it is "HSALNT0112057". The record is from RNAcentral. Lineage: Eukaryota; Metazoa; Chordata; Mammalia; Primates; Hominidae.
CCCUGCUUCAUGUUCCAUCUCAUUUUUUUUUCCUCAUUUCCUACAGCUGGUUGUUUGUAAUAUUCAUGAUAUUUCUUGGUUUCCAGUUUGUCUCUCUUCUCUCUCUCACAAAAUAAUGCCCUGCCUUUAAAUUUUUCCAUUUGUGUACUGUCUCCUUUAUCAUCCCUAUUUCUUAAGCUUUCCUGCUUGGAGCAUCACUGUCUGAUUAUUUCAAGGAUAACAACUUCCCAUCUCUGUAUAGAAUUCUUUAGACAGGGAUAUGAGGAGCAUGCAUUUAUAGGAGCUGUGCAAUUGUAAUGAACGUUUAAAACAUGGAAAAAGUCCUGGGUCAAAUAAGGUUUACAGUUUGGGAUUGGUAAACCAAUGAAAGGAACGAGUAAAAUAAAGUAACAUCAGAAAGUGAUGUCAACAAUCUUCCUUUUCAUUUUAACCUGUUCCAUGUGGAAGCUCUGAAUACGGUCACGUGGCAGGCUCACGAGUGAGUCAUGGGAGGUAAGCGUGGCUGGGAGAAAGGAGGGAGCAGUUACUGCGAGGGUGGGUGAGGAUAACACAAGCCUUGUGAGCCAGACAGAAUUUAAAUGUGAUAAUCUUUGCAAAAUGUUUGUAAAGAUGAAUAAUUAUAUAAUCAAUAGAUAUAAUCAUCUUUUUCCUCUUACAGGUAAAUGCCAUUUACAGAAAGCAUUCUGCAUAAUAAAACGAUUUCAAAGUCUCAUAAGAGAAGCUAACAUAACUUCCCUUAAUCAAUCUAGUCUUCAUGAGCUCUACACAAAUAGUCCCAUACCAAGGUUUUCCUGUAUGUCUAUCCAUUUAUAGGGGAUAGGGAAGCUUAAGGGAGGAGUGCUGUGAAGAAUGUUGUCAUUUCUUCUGGACUGCUACUAAGUAAAAGUUAUCUUCUCACCUCACUCACCAAUUCCUGCCUUAGUACCACAGCAAUUAUCUUUGCCUAAACACAUUAACGGGGAAAAAUGUUCAGGCUUUUGGAGAAGAGCUACAAGUGGUGGACGGUGGCCACAGUGAAGAGUGGGGUAACUUAGACUAAACACUAUAGGAGCCAUCAGAAGAAAUUUUUCCAAACUGCAGCUUAUUACAUGGGUCACACAAGGACAGUUUGCAGCAUAAGGACAGCUAGCUGCUUAUACAAGAACAUGUGCCUGACACAGUCUCACAAGCCCAGUCCAAAACUACAAGGGCCUAACUGUAACUCCAGGAUUACAAGUCCUACCUAAUAACUAUUGACACUCGCCAGUCAGAACUCACCAGCUCUUUUGUUGCUGCCAGCACCAAUAAGCUUUCUUCCAAAACCAACGCAUAGCCUCCGCCUUUCCCAAUAAACUCUAACCUUUUCCUUUAUUCUGUGGACACUCCAGAGGCCAAUCUGGUCUGUAUAUAUGUCCCAGAUUGCAG